GCGCCCAUAGCUCAGUGGAUAGAGCAAUUGACUUCUAAUCAAUUGGCCGCAGGUUCGAGUCCUGCUGGGCGCG
Molecule: transfer RNA, 73 nt
Filed under: Ktedonobacteraceae bacterium
Lineage: Bacteria; Bacillati; Chloroflexota; Ktedonobacteria; Ktedonobacterales; Ktedonobacteraceae
Description: tRNA-Arg
Rfam family: tRNA
About the family: Transfer RNA (tRNA) molecules are approximately 80 nucleotides in length. Their secondary structure includes four short double-helical elements and three loops (D, anti-codon, and T loops).
Source: RNAcentral